ACACUGACGUCGCGACGCAUAUCAAUAAGCGGAGGAAAAGAAACUAACAAGGAUUCCCUCAGUAACGGCGAGUGAAGCGGGAAGAGCUCAAAUUUGAAAUCUUCAAGGUUUUACCUUGACGAAUUGUAGUUUAAAGAAGUGUUUUCUGUUGAAGUUUUGGUAAAAGUUCUUUGGAAUAGGACAUCAUAGAGGGUGAGAAUCCCGUAUUUGACCAUUUACUCUUCAACUUUGUGAUACACUUUCAAAGAGUCGGAUUGUUUGGGAAUGCAGUCCAAAAUGGGUGGUAAAUUUCAUCUAAAGCUAAAUAUUGGCGAGAGACCGAUAGCGAACAAGUACCGUGAGGGAAAGAUGAAAAGAACUUUGAAAAGAGAGUUAAACAGUACGUGAAAUUGUCAAAAGGGAAGCGUUUGACACCAGUGUUGUUCUUCUGAAAAUCAAUUAAAGAACUGUUUAUGCUAAGUUGUUUAGACUUUAUCAGCUAACUGUUUAGUUUUGAGCUUUUCUUUAAUGCACUUUUCAGUUAACAAGUCAACAUCAAUUUCUUUUGCUGUAAAAAAGCUUGAGGAAGGUGGCUUGAGAUUCGUCUUAAGUGUUUAUAGCCUCUUGCCUAUGCAGUCGGAGAGAUUGAGGUCUGCAGCGUAGAUCCUUCGGGGCUAAAUGCAUUUGUGCUAAGUUAUAGCAUUUUAUAGACAACUUGUUGACUAUGAUUUGUCUUGUAGCUUACUCGCUUAUGUUAUUUUACCUACGCUUAGGAUGUUGACGCAUGAGAUAUACGC
This 776-nucleotide ribosomal RNA is filed under the name uncultured Neocallimastigales. Its description in RNAcentral is "partial large subunit ribosomal RNA". It matches the Rfam family "Eukaryotic large subunit ribosomal RNA", at positions 25 to 612 of the family's 3401-position model. The record is from RNAcentral. Lineage: Eukaryota; Fungi; Neocallimastigomycota; Neocallimastigomycetes; Neocallimastigales.